UGUCUGCAGGAUACAAGUUAGAGGG
Molecule: non-coding RNA, 25 nt
Filed under: Rattus norvegicus (Norway rat)
Lineage: Eukaryota; Metazoa; Chordata; Mammalia; Rodentia; Muridae
Source: RNAcentral